This 256-nucleotide ribosomal RNA is filed under the name uncultured soil bacterium. RNAcentral describes it as "partial 16S ribosomal RNA". It matches the Rfam family "Bacterial small subunit ribosomal RNA", at positions 26 to 280 of the family's 1533-position model. The record is from RNAcentral.
AGGAUGAACGCUGGCGGCGUGCUUAAGACAUGCAAGUCGAACGCAGAGCUGAUAGCAAUAUUGGCUCUGAGUAGCGAAUGGGUGCGUAACACGUAGGUGGCCUGCCCUGAAGUGGGGAAUAACAGUCCGAAAGGACUGCUAAUACCGCAUACGGUUCAAGGCGUUAGAGAACUUGAACCAAAGCUCGCAAGGGCGCUUCAGGAGGGGCCUGCGGCCCAUCAGUUAGUGGUAGGUAACGGCCUACCAAGACGACGAC